Molecule: ribosomal RNA, 465 nt
Filed under: Vreelandella stevensii
Lineage: Bacteria; Pseudomonadati; Pseudomonadota; Gammaproteobacteria; Oceanospirillales; Halomonadaceae
Description: partial 16S ribosomal RNA
Rfam family: Bacterial small subunit ribosomal RNA
Source: RNAcentral
CCUACGGGGGGCUGCAGUGGGGAAUAUUGGACAAUGGGGGCAACCCUGAUCCAGCCAUGCCGCGUGUGUGAAGAAGGCCCUCGGGUUGUAAAGCACUUUCAGUGAGGAAGAACGCCUGGUGGUUAAUACCCAUCAGGAAAGACAUCACUCACAGAAGAAGCACCGGCUAACUCCGUGCCAGCAGCCGCGGUAAUACGGAGGGUGCGAGCGUUAAUCGGAAUUACUGGGCGUAAAGCGCGCGUAGGUGGCUUGAUAAGCCGGUUGUGAAAGCCCCGGGCUCAACCUGGGAACGGCAUCCGGAACUGUCAAGCUAGAGUGCAGGAGAGGAAGGUAGAAUUCCCGGUGUAGCGGUGAAAUGCGUAGAGAUAGGGAGGAAUACCAGUGGCGAAGGCGGCCUUCUGGACUGACACUGACACUGAGGUGCGAAAGCGUGGGUAGCAAACAGGAUUAGAUACCCCGGUAGUC